CAUGUGUAGAUUUUCCUUUCCUUGUCUUUCACAAGUAUCAUGUUUUUCUUCAAUCCUCUGUGUGUGGGGGGGGGGAUGACAGGAUCUUGCUAUGUUGUCCAGGCUAGAGUGCAGUGGCAUGACCAUGGCUCACUGCAGCCUUAACCUCCUGGGCUCAAAGGAUCCUCCCACCUCAGCCUCCCAAAGUGUUGGGAUUACAGGCAUGAGCCACAAUGCCCAGCCUUAAAUUCUUUUCAACUUUAAAAAAUUUUGGUCAUGUGUGAUGACCCAUGCCUGUAAUCUCAACACUUCAAGAGGUUGAGGCAGGAGGUUCGUUUGAACCCAGGAGUUGGGGACAAGCCUGGGUACACCAGGAGACCCCAUCUUAAUUUAAAAAAAAAUUACCCAGAGGUGGUGGCAUGGACUACCUGUGGUCCCAGCUACUUGGGACACUCAGGCAGGAGGAUCACCUGAGUCUGGGGGGAUUGAGGCUACAGUGAGCUAUGGCAAUGCCACUGUACUCCUGCCUGGGAAACAGAGUGAGACCCUGUUUCAAAAAAAUUGUUUUUGUCACUUAAAAAUUCUUUUAUUUUUUAAAAAGACAAAUCCUGCCCUCUGUGUACAUCGCUGUGUUUUCAGCAAUGUCUGUUUUCCUCUGUGUUGUUUGCACAUCAUGUUCACUUCUGCAAAUUUUAUUGUUCUUUUCACUUCUGUCUAGGCCCUGCUGUCUCAUGUUUUGUCAACAGGAAGAAAAACACAUCUUCAUGUUUUGUUUUCUUUCCACAUUGUGCAGGUUACACACAAUACAAUAUCAAUCUUAUUCCUAACAGAUCCUAAAAAAGAUAUUUCAAGGCCUAGCUGUAAACUACAGUACUUUAUAUAUCUAUAUUCUUAAUAAAAAUAAAAUCCACAAAUCUUAAAAAGGAACUUUAAAUGCAGGGCUAUAUUGAAUUGGUAAACUGCAACACAAACUGGCGCAACAUAGGUAAAUGAAUACCAAUCUCACUCUAUGUGAUGCAAGCAUGCUACUUUCCCACUAAUUUAAAUUACUUUCAACCACUAUGAGCCAGAAUGCAUGCCUGAACCUUAAACUGCACUUUAAAAAAUAACAUCUUGGCCUAGAAAUUAAAUCUAAUGAAGUACAACCAUCAAAUUAUAUCCGCUACAUUAAUGUUCAAUGCAAAAUUAA
This 1168-nucleotide long non-coding RNA is filed under the name Callithrix jacchus (white-tufted-ear marmoset). RNAcentral describes it as "lncRNA (ENSCJAG00000085422.1)". Lineage: Eukaryota; Metazoa; Chordata; Mammalia; Primates; Cebidae. The record is from RNAcentral.